CCUACGGGGGGCUGCAGUCGAGAAUAUUCCCCAAUGGACGAAAGUCUGAGGGAGCGACGCCGCGUGCAGGAUGAAGUCCUUCGGGAUGUAAACUGCUUUUAUCAGGGACGAACUAUGACGGUACCUGAAGAAUAAGAGGUUGCUAACUCUGUGCCAGCAGCAGCGGUAAUACAGAGACCUCGAGCGUUAUCCGGAUUUAUUGGGCGUAAAGCGUGCGCAGGCGACUUGAAUAGUCCUUGGUUAAAUCCCGGAGCUUAACUCCGGAACCGCCAGGGAAACUUUCAAGAUUGAGGCCGGGAGAGGUUAGCGGAAUUGCCGGUGUAACGGUAAAAUGUGUUAAUAUCGGCAAGAACACCAGAGGCGAAGGCGGCUAACUAGAACGGACCUGACGCUGAGGCACGAAAGCGUGGGGAGCGAAUGGGCUUAGAUACCCCAGUAGUC
RNAcentral lists this ribosomal RNA (441 nucleotides) under uncultured bacterium. RNAcentral describes it as "bacterial SSU rRNA". It matches the Rfam family "Bacterial small subunit ribosomal RNA", at positions 338 to 795 of the family's 1533-position model. The record is from RNAcentral.